RNAcentral lists this ribosomal RNA (459 nucleotides) under uncultured Anaerolineaceae bacterium. RNAcentral describes it as "bacterial SSU rRNA". It matches the Rfam family "Bacterial small subunit ribosomal RNA", at positions 906 to 1382 of the family's 1533-position model. Lineage: Bacteria; Bacillati; Chloroflexota; Anaerolineae; Anaerolineales; Anaerolineaceae. The record is from RNAcentral.
GGAAUUGACGGGACCCGCACAAGCAGCGGAGCGUGUGGUUUAAUUCGAUGCUACACGAAGAACCUUACCAGGGUUUGACAUGCAAGUGGUAGGAAACUGAAAAGGACGACCCUUCGGGAGCUUGCACAGGUGCUGCAUGGCUGUCGUCAGCUCGUGUCGUGAGAUGUUCGGUUAAGUCCGCUAACGAGCGCAACCCUCACUGUGUGUUAUAUGUGUCACACGGGACUGCCGGUUUUAAGCCGGAGGAAGGUGGGGAUGACGUCAAGUCAGCAUGGCCUUUAUAUCCUGGGCUACACACACGCUACAAUGGUCGGUACAAUAGGUUGCCAAGCCGCGAGGCGGAGCCAAUCCAAAAAAGCCGGCCUCAGUUCAGAUUGUAGGCUGCAAUUCGCCUGCAUGAAGUCGGAAUCGCUAGUAAUCGCAGGUCAGCAUACUGCGGUGAAUACGUUCCCGGGCCUU